Molecule: long non-coding RNA, 1085 nt
Filed under: Equus asinus (donkey)
Lineage: Eukaryota; Metazoa; Chordata; Mammalia; Perissodactyla; Equidae
Description: lncRNA (ENSEASG00005025324.1)
Source: RNAcentral
GCUGGAUCCCUUGUCUAUUUUAAAAGUGGAGAGACGUGGGCCCAAGACUGCCAUGUGACCAAACCUCCAUCCUCAUGCUCAGAACUGGCUAGAAGCCUAAACUGAGUCAGAGGCUGUCACCCUGGUCCAAUCUGGGAAGAAUCUCCCCUGUCCCAAAUAGAGCUCCCUACGUCCCCUGCUGAGAUGCUCCAAUCUUUCGGGAGAGUUGUCCCUUUCAAGAAUGACCUGUAAGCAGCUGCCCCAUUGCAAAAGUGUCAUCUCAAUGCCGUCAUCGACCAUGAGCACACACUGCCAUUUAAUUUCACCUUUAGGAUUACCUGGCACUUCCUCAGGCGAAGUCACCUUGGAACAAGACAUGGGAGGGUCCAGCCUUGAAGGCAUUGUAUCCAUGACAUCCACCGGAGGAGCUAAAGAAAACAUCCACAGAUCACUCUCUGCCCUUGUCCACUUUGUUCUUGGAAGGACAUCAGUGGGUUCCCUUGCCCUCUGGCUUCUGGUUGGAUUCACCCAAUGGAGAGCCCUGGCAGGAGAUUGGAAGAAGAGAGGAUAGUAAGGCCGACAAGCCCGGCUGGCUGUGGAGUAGAGGGAAACACCUCUUUUAUCAAAAUUGGCUUCAAAAGAUGUCUAUCUCCCGUUUCUGGUGAGUCAUCUGUCCAUUCACAAGUGUUGGAAGUGGGAAGGAGGCCACUGAGAGACUCCCCAAGGAUACGCUAAUUGGAUGAGGAAACUCUGGAACUGAAGGGAACUUUAAUGUCCAUUUCAUUCAUCCCUCUACUUUAAAGCACCAAACGAAGGCCCAUCCAAGGUGAAAAGCAUCCAUUUCUUGGAGAAAUGCCACUGUGAGAUUGCAAGUCCCAGGACCAGGACUUAUGUGUCUCUUUUUCCAGCGAAGUGGCUAAAGGUCUGGAGCUGAAGUUGCAAAUGCCAUAGUGUCCUUGAAUCUCAAGUCUGGACUGAAAAAAGUUCUUAAAGGUCCCCUGGUUCAACCUUCUACUUAACGUGGAAAUCCUUUCUACCACAUCCCUGCAUGGGAAUCACAGGUCUCUGUACCUGUCUAGCAUAGUCCACUUGGGGGGUUAUUCUCC